GAACUACCACCUGGGGAAGCGCUAGCUCAGAACCCCAGUAUCGAGUGUUGCAGGUUGUCCGGUAGCAGGCAGUUUGAACGUACACAGACAGGAAGCGAGGAUGAGAGGUACCAAGUAGCUGCCCUGCCCUGAUCGGUAUUGAGCUCCGAAAUUUGGUUACUGUCGGCUCCUGCCCAAGGUGUGUGCAUACUGGAAGGCAAUUGCAAGUGUCGCGUCGCGGGAGCGCC
This 227-nucleotide non-coding RNA is filed under the name Aureliella helgolandensis. The record is from RNAcentral. Lineage: Bacteria; Pseudomonadati; Planctomycetota; Planctomycetia; Pirellulales; Pirellulaceae.